AACGAACGCUGGCGGCAUGCCUAACACAUGCAAGUCGAACGAGACCUUCGGGUCUAGUGGCGCACGGGUGCGUAACGCGUGGGAACCUGCCCUUAGGUUCGGAAUAACUCCCCGAAAGGGGUGCUAAUACCGGAUAAUGUCUUCGGACCAAAGAUUUAUCGCCUUUGGAUGGGCCCGCGUUGGAUUAGCUAGUUGGUAGGGUAAAAGCCUACCAAGGCGACGAUCCAUAGCUGGUCUGAGAGGAUGAUCAGCCACACUGGGACUGAGACACGGCCCAGACUCCUACGGGAGGCAGCAGUGGGGAAUAUUGGACAAUGGGCGAAAGCCUGAUCCAGCAAUGCCGCGUGAGUGAUGAAGGCCUUAGGGUUGUAAAGCUCUUUUACGCGGGAUGAUAAUGACAGUACCGGGAGAAUAAGCUCCGGCUAACUCCGUG
RNAcentral lists this ribosomal RNA (433 nucleotides) under uncultured bacterium. RNAcentral's name for it is "partial 16S ribosomal RNA". It matches the Rfam family "Bacterial small subunit ribosomal RNA", at positions 29 to 507 of the family's 1533-position model. The record is from RNAcentral.